This 497-nucleotide ribosomal RNA is filed under the name uncultured bacterium. Its description in RNAcentral is "partial 16S ribosomal RNA". It matches the Rfam family "Bacterial small subunit ribosomal RNA", at positions 28 to 507 of the family's 1533-position model. The record is from RNAcentral.
GACGAACGCUGGCGGCGUGCCUAAUACAUGCAAGUAGAACGCUGAAGAGAGGAGCUUGCUCUUCUUGGAUGAGUUGCGCACGGGUGAGUAACGCGUAGGUAACCUGCCUUGUAGCGGGGGAUAACUAUUGGAAACGAUAUCUAAUACCGCAUAACAAUGGAUGACACAUUUCAUUUAGUUGAAAGGGGCAAUUGCUCCACUACAAGAUGGACCUGCGUUGUAUUAGCUAGUAGGUGAGGUAAUGGCGCACCUAGGCGACGAUACAUAGCCGACCUGAGAGGGUGAGUGGCCACACUGGGAGUGUGACACGGCCCAGACUCCUACGGGAGGCAGCAGGAGGGAAUCUGCGGCAAUGGGGGCAAACCUGACCGAGCAACGCCGAGUGAGUGAAGAGGGUUCUCGGAUCGUAAAGGUCUGUUGUAAGUCAAGAACGGGUGUGAGAGUGGAAAGUUCACACUGUGACGGUAGCUUAUAAGAAAGGGACGGCUAACUACGUG